This 460-nucleotide ribosomal RNA is filed under the name uncultured bacterium. RNAcentral's name for it is "partial 16S ribosomal RNA". It matches the Rfam family "Bacterial small subunit ribosomal RNA", at positions 338 to 795 of the family's 1533-position model. The record is from RNAcentral.
CCUACGGGUGGCAGCAGUGAGGAAUAUUGGUCAAUGGACGUAAGCCUGAACCAGCCAAGUCGCGUGAAGGAUGAAUGCUCUAUGGGUUGUAAACUUCUUUUAUAAAGGAAUAAAAUGAGGGACGUGUGCUGUUUUGUAUGUACCUUAUGAAUAAGGAUCGGCUAACUCCGUGCCAGCAGCCGCGGUAAUACGGAGGAUCCGAGCGUUAUCCGGAUUUAUUGGGUUUAAAGGGUGCGUAGGCGGUUUUUUAAGUCAGCUGUGAAAGUUUGUGGCUCAACCGUAGAAUUGCCAUUGAUACUGGGAGGCUUGAGUACAGUUGAGGCAUGCGGAAUGCGUGGUGUAGCGGUGAAAUGCUUAGAUAUCACGAAGAACCCCGAUUGCGAAGGCAGCCUGCUAAGCUGUGACUGACGUUGAUGCUCGAAAGUGUGGGGAUCAAACAGGAUUAGAUACCCCUGUAGUC